Molecule: long non-coding RNA, 2095 nt
Organism: Acanthochromis polyacanthus (spiny chromis)
Lineage: Eukaryota; Metazoa; Chordata; Actinopteri; Pomacentridae
Exons: 3
Source: RefSeq, a predicted model, not a curated record
AUAGUAAACUACGACGUUUUUCUGUCUAUUUUCGGAUGACAUACUUAACUGUGACGUUUUUGUCCAUUUUCGUAUGAUGUACUCAGCUUUGACAGUUUUUUGUCCAUUUUCGGGUGACAUUCUCAACUAUGACGUUUUUUGGUGUUUCCAGAUGACAUACUAAACUAUGACAUUUUUUUGUCCAUUUUCAGACGACAUACUAAACUAUGACGUUUUUGACAUUUUAGGACGACAUACUAAACUAUGACUUUUUUUGUCUAUUUUUAGACGACAUACUAAACGAUGACAUUUUUUUCCAUUUUUGGACAAAAAAUGACGUUUUUUUUGUCCAUUGUCGAAGGACAUAAUAAACCAUGAUGUUUUUUGUAACGUUUUGGAUGACAUACUAAAGUAUUAUGUUUUUGUCCAUCAUACUAAGCUAUGACGUUUUUUGUCCAUUGUUGGAGGACAUAAUAAACCAUGAUGUUUUUGUCCAUUUUCGGACGACAUACUAAACUAUGACGUUUUUUUGUUCCAUUCUGGAUGAGAGAAGAAGAGUGGGGGGAGACAUGCAGCAAAUGGGUGCAAGCAGAAUUUGAACCCAGGCUGCUGCGUCAGAGACCAACCUCUUCAUAUGUGUCGCCCGCUUUACCUGUUGAGCUAUACAGACGACAUACUAAACUAUGACCUAUUUUGGCAUUUUCGGACAACAGAAGGAGAACAUGGGAAGACAUGCAGCAAAGCACCGCAAGCAGGAAUCGAACCCAGGCCGCUACGUCGGAGACCAGUCUUUGUACACGGGUCGCCCGCUUAACCCAUUGAGCUAUACGGGGACCCCAACUACAACUUUUUAUACUAAACCAUGAUAUUUUGGUCUUGUUUUGGCUGACAUACUAAACCAUGACGUUCAUUGACGACAUACUAAACUAUGACAUUUUUUCGUCCAUUUUCGGACGACAUAUGAAACUAUGACGUUUUUUGUCCAUUUUCGGACGAUAUACUAAACUGUGACGUUUUUUUGUCCAUUUUUGGACGACAUACUAAACUAUGACCUUUUUUUGUCCAUUUUUAGAUGACAUACUGAACGAUGACAUUUUUUCCAUUUUCGGACAAAAAAUGACUUUUGUUGUCCAUUGUCGGAGGACAUGAUAAACCAUGACGUUUUUUGUCCUGUCUUGGACGACAUACUAAACUAUGACAUUUUUUUCUAUUUUCAGACAAAAAAUGAUGUUUUUUUGUCCAUUGUCGGAGGGCAUACUCAACCAUGACGUUUUUUGUCAUAAUUGGAACGACAUGCCAAACUAUGACCUUUUUGUCACGUUUUGGACGACAUACUAAACUAUGAUGUUUUGUCCAUUUUCGGACAAAAAAGGACGUUUUUGGUCCAUUUUCGGACGAUAUAGUAAACUACGACGUUUAUCUGUCUAUUUUCGGAUGACAUACUAAACUGUGACGUUUUUGUCCAUUUUCGGACGACGUACUCAGCUUUGACAGUUUUUUGUCCAUUUUCGGGUGACAUACUCAACUAUGACGUUUUUGUCCAUUUUCGGACGACAUACUAAACUAUGACAUUUUUUUUGUCCAUUUUUAGACGACAUACUAAACGAUGACAUUUUUUUCCAUUUUCGGACAAAAGAUGACACUUUUUGUCCAUUGUUGGAGGACAUGAUAAACCAUGAUGUUUUUUGUCCUGUUUUGGACGACAUACUAAAUUAUGAUGUUUUUUGUUCCGUUCUGGAUGACAGAAGAAGAGUGGGGGGAGACAUGCAGCAACGGGCCGCAAGCAGGAUUCGAACCUGGGCCACUGUGUCAGAGACCAGCCUCUGUAUAUGGGUUGCCCACUUAACCCGUUGAGCUAUACAGAUGCAUCUUGACGUAACACGUUCAUGCACAUUUCAGUCUUUAGCUGCUGAAUUCACGGAUGAAUCAUCUGGCACUGGAGAGGAAGACCAUCAAACAUCCACCCCAGCUGAUGGCGGUCCAAGAGUCUCACCAACAAACAACCUACAGAGUGAAGACCUCAAAACUUAUUGAUCGGUCUCCUGUUUAGUCACAUGUGUGAACAAAUGCCUCUAAGUAAAUUUGUUUCCUAAAAUAAAUCUAGUUUGAGUCCUAA